Molecule: small nuclear RNA, 107 nt
Filed under: Prolemur simus (greater bamboo lemur)
Lineage: Eukaryota; Metazoa; Chordata; Mammalia; Primates; Lemuridae
Source: RNAcentral
GUGCUUGCUUCGGCAGCACAUAUACUGAAAUUGGAACGAUACAGAGAAGAUUAGUGUGGUCCCUGCACAAGGAUGACAUGCAAAUUCAUAAAGUGUUCCAUAUUUUU